GGCAUUCUCAGCAGAGUUCUUCAAGUUAACCCACUGACUUGUUUUCUGACAUGUUUAUAAGGACUUCAGUGCUAUGGGAAUGAACUGUUAUGGGCAGCAAACUUUCACCACUCAAGGGAAAGACUGCUGAUGGAUGCAAAGCAUGUGACUGAAGCUCAAAAACUUCCCAUCAGCUCUUUCCACUUCUGCUGCUGCUGAACACAAUUUGAAUAAAAACUGCAUAUAAACCA
Molecule: long non-coding RNA, 230 nt
Filed under: Anas platyrhynchos platyrhynchos (common mallard)
Lineage: Eukaryota; Metazoa; Chordata; Aves; Anseriformes; Anatidae
Description: lncRNA (ENSAPLG00000018037.1)
Source: RNAcentral